UGUCGCAUGCUUGACCGUUUAUUCAUUCAACGAGCUUGAAUAGGACAUUUGUUUCAACUUAUUUCUCGCUCUUGAACGGGAUGUUAACGCGUUUGUUUUUCUAAUGAUAUUAGGGCGCUGUUUAAUUUACGUGACGAUAGUUGUGUUUUAGGCUGUUAUGUGGAUCUAUGUAAGCUUUUGUUUGUUUUAUACAUUUUUUUGAUAUACUUUUAAGCGACGACUGUCUUAAGAAGCCGUGCUGCCAGUACGAGUUUUGUCUAAGGUUUCAAAUUGAAACGCAUCCAAUGGCCAAAGAAAAGUUAUAAAAUGAAUACGACUGACCUCGUGUGGACAGGUGCUGCAGCCAAGAUGAAAGCUGUAGAAAAUGCCCAAGAGUCUCUUCUGGUUUCACUGCUACCACGUGUCCGUUGUCUAUCAAGGGCUGAGGGUUUGUCUCGGGUUAAAUAAAUAAGAGCGCACGAGGAACGCUGGCUCCGGUUCCUGUCAUGCUGGGCUGCUCCAGAACACACUGAUCUCGGCGACUUGCUGCCCAGCACAGACUCACAAUAUGACAUGUUUGUGAACUUGUGGUGUUGGCAAGAUAGUAAAAAAACAAAAAAAACAGUAUAUUUUUUCUGAAUUUUGCUUGAUAUAGAAUUUCAGCUUAAAUGCCUAUUUAGAAAAACGUUAUGUAAGACAAAGCAAUUUCUGAGAUGCAUUUAUAAAUGUAAAUGGUGCUUAUAGCUGUUCACUAACUAAAGCAAAUGUUCAUAAAGAAGGCAAAUUCACAUAAAUUAUGAUCAAUUAUAGUGUUAGUGUUAUAGUGACUUUUAUAAGUCAAAUUUCUUAAUAUUUGUCGUCUUGAAAAUUACCUCUGAGGACUUCAGUAUUCAUUAUUGUACACUC
Puntigrus tetrazona (Sumatra barb) is the source of this 885-nucleotide long non-coding RNA. RefSeq lists it as uncharacterized. The transcript has 3 exons. The record is from RefSeq and is a predicted model, not a curated record. NCBI's taxonomy places the organism in Eukaryota, Metazoa, Chordata, Actinopteri, Cypriniformes, Cyprinidae.